UACGUAGGGGGCAAGCGUUGUCCGGAAUCAUUGAGCGUAAAGAGCGUGUAGGCGGCUUGGUAAGUCCGCUGUGAAAGUCCAGGGCUCAACCCUGGAAAGCCGGUGGAAACUGUCAAGCUUGAGUCCGGAAGAGGAGAGUGGAAUUCCUGGUGUAGCGGUGAAAUGCGCAGAUAUCAGGAGGAACACCCGUGGCUAAGGCGGCUCUCUAGUACUGUACUGACGCUGAGACGCGAAAGCGUGGGGAGCGAACAGG
RNAcentral lists this ribosomal RNA (253 nucleotides) under uncultured bacterium. Its description in RNAcentral is "partial 16S ribosomal RNA". It matches the Rfam family "Bacterial small subunit ribosomal RNA", at positions 524 to 776 of the family's 1533-position model. The record is from RNAcentral.